UACUUUGAUGAAGACUUUCUAGUAAUCCCUUUAAAUCAUUUUGUUCUUGAAAAUGUGGUAGACAAUCAGGAGGCAUUUUUUCCGUAAACAGGUUGUAAUAUUCCUUUAGAAGUUGUAAGUUUUCUUGGUUAAUGUUUUCUUGCAAAGUGGUAUCUCCAAACCUGUCUGCAAGUGUUUGCUGUUCAUUGAUUCCAACAUUAAAGAGUACUGGAUACAUGCGAAGUAGCUUUCCUUCUUUAAUCUCUUGUGGUAGCAACUCGAACAUCUUUGCCGGAAGCUGGACCUCUAUGACAUAAUGUUCACGCCUUCCAGUUAUAAUAGGCAAAAAGUCUUCUGAUUUGGCUUCAAUGACUUUAAACAUUACUUUCUGCAAAUCUGAA
Molecule: long non-coding RNA, 380 nt
Filed under: Gallus gallus (chicken)
Lineage: Eukaryota; Metazoa; Chordata; Aves; Galliformes; Phasianidae
Source: RNAcentral